CCUACGGGUGACAGCAGUGAGGAAUAUUGGUCAAUGGACGAGAGUCUGAACGAGCCAAGUAGCGUGAAGGAUGACUGCCCUAUGGGUUGUAAACUUCUUUUAUAUGGGAAUAAAAUGUUCCACGUGUCGGAUUUUGUAUGUACCAUAUGAAUAAGGAUCGGCUAACUCCGUGCCAGCAGCCGCGGUAAUACGGAGGAUCCGAGCGUUAUCCGGAUUUAUUGGGUUUAAAGGGAGCGUAGGUGGAUUGUUAAGUCAGUUGUGAAAGUUUGCGGCUCAACCGUAAAAUUGCAGUUGAAACUGGCAGUCUUGAGUACAGUAGAGGUGGGCGGAAUUCGAGGUGUAGCGGUGAAAUGCUUAGAUAUCAGGAAGAACUCCGAUUGCGAAGGCAGUUCACUGGACUGCAACUGACACUGAGGCUCGAAAGUGUGGGUAUCAAACAGGAUUAGAUACCCGAGUAGUC
RNAcentral lists this ribosomal RNA (460 nucleotides) under uncultured bacterium. Its description in RNAcentral is "partial 16S ribosomal RNA". It matches the Rfam family "Bacterial small subunit ribosomal RNA", at positions 338 to 795 of the family's 1533-position model. The record is from RNAcentral.